CAGUAGCCGCGGGAAUACGUAGGUGGCAAGCGUUGUCCGGAAUUAUUGGGCGUAAAGGGCUCGCAGGCGGUUUCUUAAGUCUGAUGUGAAAGCCCCCGGCUCAACCGGGGAGGGUCAUUGGAAACUGGGAAACUUGAGUGCAGAAGAGGAGAGUGGAAUUCCACGUGUAGCGGUGAAAUGCGUAGAGAUGUGGAGGAACACCAGUGGCGAAGGCGACUCUCUGGUCUGUAACUGAUGCUGAGGAGCGAAAGCGUGGGGAGCGAACAGGAUUAGAUACCCCAGUAGUCCCUGUCUCUUAUAC
This 301-nucleotide ribosomal RNA is filed under the name uncultured bacterium. Its description in RNAcentral is "partial 16S ribosomal RNA". It matches the Rfam family "Bacterial small subunit ribosomal RNA", at positions 509 to 807 of the family's 1533-position model. The record is from RNAcentral.